RNAcentral lists this ribosomal RNA (253 nucleotides) under uncultured bacterium. RNAcentral's name for it is "partial 16S ribosomal RNA". It matches the Rfam family "Bacterial small subunit ribosomal RNA", at positions 524 to 776 of the family's 1533-position model. The record is from RNAcentral.
UACGGGGGGAGCAAGCGUUGUUCGGAUUUACUGGGCGUAAAGGGCUCGUAGGCGGCCAACUAAGUCAUACGUGAAAUCCCUCAGCUUAACUGGGGAACUGCGUGUGAUACUGGAUGGCUUGGAUUUGGGAGAGGGAUGCGGAAUUCCAGGUGUAGCGGUGAAAUGCGUAGAUAUCUGGAGGAACACCGGUGGCGAAGGCGGCAUCCUGGACCAAUAUUGACGCUGAGGAGCGAAAGCUAGGGGAGCAAACGGG